GCUGGGCGUGGUGGCACACGCCUGUAAUCCCAGCUACUUGGGAGGCUGAGGCAGGGGAAUUGCUUGAGCCCGGGAGGUAGAGGUUGCAGUGAGCUGAGAUCUUGCCACUGCACUCCAGCCUGGCCGACAGAGCGAGACUCUGUCUCAA
This 148-nucleotide non-coding RNA is filed under the name Gorilla gorilla gorilla (western lowland gorilla). Lineage: Eukaryota; Metazoa; Chordata; Mammalia; Primates; Hominidae. The record is from Rfam by way of RNAcentral.